RNAcentral lists this long non-coding RNA (7163 nucleotides) under Homo sapiens (human). RNAcentral's name for it is "HSALNT0304214". The record is from RNAcentral. Lineage: Eukaryota; Metazoa; Chordata; Mammalia; Primates; Hominidae.
GCCAGCGCUGUGUGCCUUUGCGAGGGCGGAGCUGCGUUCUCCUCAGCACAGACCCGGAGAGCAUUGCGAGGGCGGAGCUGAGUUCUCCUCUGCACAGACUUCGGAGAUACAGCGAAGGCAGAGCAAUGUUCUCCUCAGCAGAGACCCGGGCGGGCGGGCCGGUGGCACCGCGAGGGCGGAGCUGCGUUCUGCUCUGCACAGACCUUGGGGGCACUGCCUCGCUUUGGGACAACUCGGGGCCGCAUGGACGGUGAAUAAAAUCCUUCCUGUUUGCAGCCCUGUUUGUGGUUGGUGGCAGCGAUGGACACUGCAGCCAGCCAGAGCGUAGAAAGGCGUCGGGUGAAAGAAGAUGGCCACGGAGACAGACAGCAGCGUGGUCAGAGUGGUAGGAGCUGACCAUCAGCGAGAGCUGCUCCAUGCCUGGCUGCUGGGUCCUAGAGCCUGUGGCCCACUGGCUUGCCUCACUGUGGUUGGUGGUGGUGGUGACAGAGACUGCAGGACGACCAGAUGGCUUUUCCGGCUUUGCCCGCCCAGCUGCUCUGUGCCAGGAAGAGGAGGAGACACCUAGAGCCUGCGACACCAUGGCUCGCCUCGCUGCGGGUGGGCGGCAGUGACGUAGCCUGCAGUGCGCCAGAGUGGUAGGAGAGCGGCUGCACUAGGAGGGCAGGCGGCUGCAGCCAGGGUUGGGGGUCAGGCUUAGAGCGAUGGACGGGCUGCAGCAGUGGCCAGGUGGUAGGAGCCUUGUAGGGAGGGCUGGUGCAUUGGCAAUGGGCCUGGCUUUGCCCUGCGCCUGCCGUGGAUCUGGCCCUGUACUGCCCUGCCUUGCCCUGUACCUGCCCUACUGUUACUUGGACUCUCGGCCCUGUCCUGCUCUGGUCCCAUCCUGACCCUGUCUUGGCCCUGUGCUACCCUGUCCCUGCCCUGGUCUUGCCCUGGCACUGGCCCUGCCCUGAACCUGCACUGGCCUGACCUUGGCUCUGGCCCUGGCUCUGGCCCUGCCUCUUGUCCUGAUCCUGGUCGUGUCAUGGCACUGGCCCUGCCAAUGGUCAUGGUCCUGCUCCUGUUCUGGCCCUGACCUGGCCUUGGACAUGUCCUGGCCCUGCUUUGGCCCAUCCCUGCCCUGGCCCCACCAUGGGCCUGCCUGUUCUGCCCUCUCCUGGCACUGACCUUGCCCUGUCAUGGCCCAGUGGUGCCAUUGCCCUGCCUUACCCUGCGCUGGUUGUGACUUGGCCCCGCUUGGUGCUGGCCGCUCCCUGGACCUGCCCUGGACCUGCCCUGACCCUGCCCUUGGCUUUUGCCCUGCCCUCACUAUGGCCUGGCCCUGGCCCUAGCCCUGGUCCUGCCAUAUCCCUGGCCCUGCCCUUAUCCAGGCCCUGCCCCUGCUGCUGCCCUGGCCCUGGCCUGGAACCUGGUCCUGUCAAGGACCUGCCCUGACUCUGCCAUGGCCCUGGCCCUGCUCUGCCUUGUUCCUGGCCCUGACCCAGACCCAGACCCUUUCCUGGCUCUGCACUGGACUUUCCCUGGCCCUGAGCUGGCAAUGGUCUGCCCCUGGUCUUGCCAUCACCCUGCCCUGCUGCGCUCUGGAUGUGUCAUCACUCUGCCCUGGCCCUACUCUGCCUUUGACCCUGCCCUGGCCUUACCUUGGCCCUCACCCUAGUCUUCGCUAGACCCUGCUCUGGAGCUGGCCCUAGCACAGACCUGGCCCUGAUCCUGGCCGUGGUCUUUGUCCUGCCAUAGCCCUGGCCCUGAAGUGGACUUGGAGGUGUCCUGGCCCCGGCAUAACAUGGCUCUGCAUUGGCCUGUCCCUGCCCUGCCGCUACCAUCUCCUUGCCCUGCUCUGUCCUGUCCCAGCACUGUCCCGGCCGUGCUAUUUCCCUUCCCUACCCUGCCUUGGCUGUGCCCUGGCUCGGUUCUGGCCCUGGCCCCGGCCCUGCCCUGGACAUGCUCUGACACUGCCUCAGCCUCGGCACUAGCCUGGCUCUUUCUUGACAUCAGCUCUGCUCUCUCUGUGGACCGGCUCUUGUCCUGUCCUACACUGGCCAUACCAUGCCCUGCCCUGCCCUGCCCUGACUCAGUCCUGGCUCAGCCCUGGCCCAACCUUGGCCUUGGCAUUGCCCCUGGUCAUGCCAUAUUUCUUGCCCUGUCCCUACCCUGGCCUUGGCCCUGACCCUUACCUUGCUGUGGCCCUGCCCUUGCCCUAACGCAGCCCCUGGUCCUGUCAUGGCCCUGCCCUGGACCUGUCCUGGCCCUGGCCCUUCCCUGCUUGAGAACUUGCCCUGGUUCUCCCCUGGCCCUGACCCUGAAAUGCCUGGCCCUACCCUGGCCUUGCACUGCUCUGGCCUUUGCCCUGACUCUGGUCCUGUCACUGGCCUAGCCCCAGCCCUGUUGCUGGUCUUACCAUGGCCCAGACCCUGCCUUGGCCCUGCCCUGACACUGUCCUGGACCCUGGCUGUGCCAAGAACCUGCACUGUCCUUGCCAUUGUUUUGCUCCUGCCCCGAACCUGGUCUUCCCCAGGCCGUGGCCAUGGCCCUGGCCCUGGCCCUGCCCAGGUCUUGGCACUGUCCUGGCCCCGCCCUGCCCUGGCCCUAUGCUUUUCUGGCCCUGCCUUGCCGGCCCUGGCCCUGCCUUGGCCCUAGCCUGGCUUUGACCCUGCCCUGGCCCUACCUUGGCCUUCACCCUAGCCUUACCUGGGCACUGUGUUGGACCUGGCCAUAGCACAGACCUGGUUGUGGCCCUGGUCCUGCCGUGGCCCUGUCUCAGACCCUAGCCCUGCCAGGUACCUGUCCUGGCCCAGCUCUGGGCCUGGCUUUGUCCCUGGUUCUUAGAUGAACCUGGUCCUGCUCCUGCCCUUGCUCUUGCCCUGGCACUGGCCUUGGACAUGUCCAUGGUCCUAACCCUGGCCCUGCCCAGGAGCUGCCACUGUCUUGGCUGUGCCCUGGCUCUGGCCCUGCCCCGGCCCCAACCAUAGACCUGCCCUGGUUGGUCGUGAACUACCUUAACCCUGUGCUACCCUGGGCCUGCUCCACCCUGCCCUGGCCCUGCCCUCCCUUUGGCCCUGCCCUGACCCUGCCUUGGCCCUCACACUGACCCUAGCACAGACCUGGUCCUAUGUGUGGCCUUGGCCUGGCAUUGACCCCUGCUCCUGACCCCGGUCCUGCCAUGGCCCUGGCCCUGCCAAUGACCCUGGCAGCCCUGACCCUGGCCCUGUCUUGGCCCUGGCCCUGAACUGGCCCUGCCCUGACCCUGGCCCUGAAGUGGAUUUGCAGGUGUCUUGUCCCUGAUGUAACCUGGUCUUACCAUGGCCCUGUCCCUCCCCUGGCUCUGUCCUGGCCUUCUGCUGACCCUGACCCAGACCUUGGCCCUGCCCCAGCCUUGUCCUAGAUCUGGCCAUGGCCCUGCGUCUGCCCUGGACCAGCGCUGGCACUGGCAUGGACCCUGGCCCUGGCCCUUCGCUACUUAAGGCCAUACCCUGGCCCAGCCCUGGUCCUGACCCUGUCCUGGCCCUAAUUUGGCCUGGCUCUACCCUGGCAUGCUAUUCUGGCCCUAGCCCUGACCCUGUCCCUGUCCCUGUCCUGGCCCCAGCCCCAUUGCUGGUCCUGCCACGGCCCUUGUCCUGACAUUGCCCUUUCCUGGUUCUGGCCCUGGCCCUGUCCCAGCCCUGCUCUGGCCCUGGUCUGAACCCUGGCCCUGCAAUAGACCUGCCUUGGUCCUGCCCAGACCCUGGCUCUGGCCCUACCUCUGCCCUGGCCAUACCCUGGCCCUGGCCUGGACCCCAGUCCUGGUCCUUGUCCUGCCCCAGCCGUGGCCCUGGCCCUGCCCUGCCUGUGCCCUGUUCUAUCCUGGGCUGGCCCUGCCAUGGCCGGGUCUUGCCAUUGCCCUGCCCUAGCCUGCCCUGCUUGUGCCCUAGAUCUGCCCCGGCCUUUGCCCCUGUCUUGGUUCUAGCCUUGACUGAGCCCUGGACCUUCCCUGAUCUUGCCUCAGCCCUGGCACUACCCUGGCCUUGCCUUGGCAUUUGCCCUACCCUCUCUAUGGCCUGGCUCUGGUCCUGCCCUGCUCUGCUCUUGUUCUGUCCUGGCACAGCCCUGGCCCUGGCCCUGGCCCUGCCGUAUCACUGGCUCUGGUCCUGCCCUUAUGCAGACCUGACCCUGCCACUGCCUUGGCUUUGGCCUGGACCUUGGCCAUACAGUGACCCUGCCAUGACCCUUUCCUGGCCCUGGCCUGGAACCUGGCCCUGCCAAGGACUCGCCCUGGCUCUGUCAUGGCCCUGGCCCUUUCCUGGAUUUGGGUGUGUCCUGUCCCUUAUUUGCCCUGGCCCUUCCCUGGCUCUGCCAUACCCCUUCUCUGGGGUAGGGCCAGGGUCAGGACCAGACCAGGGCAGGGUCAGGACCAGGGUAGGGCCAUGGUAAGGCCUGAAGAUGGGAAGGGCCAGGGCAGCGGCUGGACCAGGGAAGGGUCAGGGCCAGGGAUGUAGUAGGACUAGGGGCAGAGCCGGCACUAGGGCUGAGCCAGGACAGAGCAGGAGAGAUUACAUUGGGCUAUUACGUAAAAUUUUUAUUUUAGAUUUUUAAGAUAACUGUAGUAGUAGUAAUGUCUAUACUAUAAUGUUUGUAACAGUAAUAAUAUUUGCAGUAAUCACUAAAUUUUAACUAAUACUAUCUUUGCUUCCAGUAGUGUUCUAUGAGUAUAAUUUUAUCAAUAUGUUAAUAUGUGAGGCAUUGAUUCUCACAAUAAUUCUAUGUGCUAGGUACUUAAAGCAUCCCCAUUUUCCAAAUGUAGGAAACAGGCAUAAAGAAGUUAAAUACUUGGCCAGAUUACUCCUGUAAUCCCAGCACUUUGGGAGGCCAAAGCAGGCAGAUGGCUUGAGCUCAGGAGUUUGGAACCAGCCUGGGCAACAUUGUGAAACCCCAUCUCUACUAAAAAUGCACAAAAAGAACUAAUUUAAGUUUCUUGUAGGAUUCUGGUUAUAAAACACUGGUCAAACACACAGGGCAUGGAUAGGGCAGGGCCAGGGACAAGGUCAGGCCAGGAAGGGGCCAGGGCCAAGGCAGGGCCAGAGAUGGACUUGGAAGUGUCCUGGUCUGAUUUGCCCUGCCCCAACGUUGGUCCAGCCCUGCUCUGGCACUUCCUGUCAUGCCCUGUCCCUGGCCUGAGCACUGGCCCUGGCCCUGUCCUGCUUCUGGCCCUGCCCCGGAGUUGACCAGGCACUGCCAUGGCCCAGUCCUGCAUUGCCCUGCCCUCCUCUGCCCUGGUGCUACCAUGGCCCUGCUUGGGCCCUAGCUCUGCCUCUACUCUGGACCUGCCCUGACUCUGCUCAGCCCUGGAUCUACCCUGACUCUGCCUUGGUGUUGCCCUCCCAUCUCUAUGGCCUGGCUCUGGCUGUGCCUUGCAUAGAUCAUGCUCUGCCCUGCGUGUCCCAGCCUGGGCCCAGCCCUUGUCCUACCAUAUUCCUGACCCCAGCCAUACCCUUCUUCUGGCCGUGACCCUGCCGUGGCCCUCUCCUGGCCCUUCCUUGGUCCUGCCCUGCCCUUCCAUGCCCUGGCCUUGCCCUCACCCUGCAUUGGCCCUGCACUGGUCCUGCCCUGCCCUGGCACUGCCUUGGCCCCGGCCCUGCCUUCUCCCUGGUCUUGCCUUUGCCCUGCCCUGGCCUGACCCCAGGCCUACCGAGUCCAUGAAAUGGCCCUGGACCUGCCUUGCCAUCGUCUGUCCUGGCCCUGUAUUGUCCCCACCAUGCUCUGGUCCAGCGCUUGCCCUGGCCCUGUUGCUAGUCCUGCCACUGUUAUGGCCCUGCCCUGUUUUUGGCCAUGCCCUGUGCUACCCUAGCCCUGCCCUGCCUUGGCCUUGGCCCUACCAUGGCCUUCUCCUACCCUGACCUGGCCCUACACUGGCCUUUUCUACCCUGGCCUUGCCCUUCCCUGGUCUUGCCUUGCCCUGGCCUUGCCCUGCCCUGGCCUUGGCUUUGCCUUAUCCUGGUCCUGGUUCUGCCCUGACCCUGGCCUUGCUCUGGCCCUGUCCCUGGCCCAGCCUUGACCCUGACCCUGGCCCUGACAAUCCCCAGGUCUGACACUGGCCAUGCUUGGCCCUGGCCCCUCCUUUUGGCCCUGCCCUGGCCCUGCCUUGGCCCUGUGCUAUCUUAGUCCUGCCCUGGCCCUGAACUCACCCUGGCCCUACCCUCACCCUACACUGGCCCCGCCCUACCCUGGCCUUGCCCUGCCCUGGCCCUGCCUUUGGCCUGCUCUGGCUCUGGUUCUGCCCUGGCCUUGCCCUUGCCCUGGACCCUCCCUGGCCAUGUUUUUUUCCAUGGUCCUUCUCUGGCCUUGCCCUUGCCCUGUCCCCUUUCUGGUCCUGCCAUAUUUCUGGCCCUGUCCUGUCCAUGUCCUGGACCUGACUCUGGCCCUGGACCUCCCUGUCCCUGCCCUGCCAUACCCUGACCCGUUCCUUGCUCUACACUGACCCUGCCCUGCCUUGGCCCUGUGCUACCCUAGCCUUGCCCUGGCCUUCUGCUGACCCUGAUCCUGCCAUGGCCCUGGCCCUGCCAUGUCCCUGCCCUGGCCCUGGUUCUGCCCUGCUUCUGGCCCUGGCCUUGGUCCUCUCAUGUCCCUGGCCGUGACCCUGCCCCUGGUUUUUCUCUGGCCAUGACCCUGCCCCUGUUCUGUCCUAUCCCUGGCCCUGUCUUAGUUCUGUCCUAGCCCUGGCCUUUCACAGUACUUUAUGCUUAGUAAGGGCUCCAUGGUGUCUGUGAGUUGAAUGUUGUGUUCAUAGUAUCUGCCAAAACAGAAAGAAAAAAAACAAAAUAUUUUGAUAAGAAGUUAAAGCUUUGUAUAUAAUAUGCCUUGAAUUGUAAAUGCCUGUUAUUAGUUGUAUUACAUAUAGGUCAUGGUUUUGUACACAUAACUCCAAACCAUUGAUACUGUUAAAAGAAUAUAUGAAUAUAUGAAAGAAUGUAUAAAUGUAAGAAUGUAUCAUUAUCUAAUUACCUUUCCAAAUUAAUUUUUAUUUUUAGCUCUAUUAGAUUUUUCUCAGUGUAACAAAUGUUUAUUCCUAUGUAAUUAAGGGCGUAUUUCCUGUACAGAAUAUUCAUAUUACCUAAUUGAAAAUUAUAUGAUACAAAAAUAUAAUACUAUUUUUAGGCCAGGCAUGGUGGCUCAUACCUGUAAUCCCAACA